Molecule: long non-coding RNA, 1617 nt
Organism: Scleropages formosus (Asian bonytongue)
Lineage: Eukaryota; Metazoa; Chordata; Actinopteri; Osteoglossiformes; Osteoglossidae
Source: Ensembl
GUGUGAUUUCAGUAUGACAUUGUAUUAUGAUUAUUACAUUUAGCUGAUAUUUUUUUUUUUUUUGCCCGAAGCAACUUACAGUGUUAAUAUACCUACAAUUACUUAUCCAUUUGUACAGCUGGGUAACAGUCAGUAGGAUAAAUACCUUGCUCAAGGGUACUACAGCCAGAGCUGGGGAUCAAACCUGCAAUCUUUGCAUCUGAAGGCAGCAGUUCUAACUACUAUGCUACCACCUGUUGUUAUUGUUGCACUGCUCUGCAAAGGGCAGUGAUGGUGACUUGUAAAUGUUCCCUUUUUUCUCCACCUGGGUGCAGCUGGCGGCAGAGCUUGGAGAUGCUGUGAAGAAGAGGUAAGAAGAGGUAAGAAGAGGUAAAUGGUACUCCUUGACCAGCUGGACCCUGACUUGAAUAAGCAGUUAGUGCUCACCACCGUGAGUGAUUGUGACAAUAGGUGGUUUUCGCUUUCAUGUCCUCUGUGAUUUCAUUGAACUUUUACCUGGAACAGACCAUAUUUAGAAAUGAGUUUCUCUGAAGGAAUGAUGUGUUCAAAUUAAUGCUUUUACUGCAUAACCAAAUAAAUUUCUCUUAAUUUUUUCAGAUUAGUUUCCUGCACGCCCUCGGCAUUUUCACCAUUGGUGCUUCUUGCCUAGGAAUUUGCGGAGCAUAUACGGAGGGCAAAUUCCAUCUGUUUGUGCUACUGAAGGAAGUUUCACAAGAUGUUCAGCACCUUGCGGAACUGCUGCAGGCUGAGCAUCGACCCUCACAACGUCCUCAUCGACCAUGGCCUUGGAUUGUCCCCAUGUACAACAACGUCUGCACCUCGGAUUCACCGCGGUUGUCCCAGACUACGAGUACUUUCUUGUCCCAAGAACCUUAGCAACAAACGAUUCCACAAUUGGGUAGACACCCGGGUCCUCGGGCUGCUCCGACUGACAAUGUUGAAUAAGUGCGACUUUGGUCUUGAGGGAGAUGCUAAAAUGGCACCUUAAAGUUCAUGUGUUCCAUACAGCAUUAUGAACGGGGGAACAAUCCUCUACGGUCUGAAAUAGCUGCUCCCUUCUGUGCAUGCCAUACCAUGCAACAAGCCAAAGAGUGUUCUCUGAGCUUAGAAGGCACGAUGUUGAGCAAGUGAUAACAGCUCUACUCUGAUAAUUCAGUUAAAUGUGAAGUAAGAUGUCAUAUUGUUUUCUAUGAGUUUUCACAAGAGGAAGUAAUACAGUCUUGUUUUCUGCUGUUUGAGAAAUGGAUACAGUUAUGACUCAAUAUGUUUCUGGGAAUUGCAUUUGGAUUUACUGCCAUGGUGCUAUGUAUUGGAAGGUUUUUUUUAAUCCUUUUUUUCACCAGUUUGUCAGAGUGCCGGAACUAAGACUGAAAACUAAUGUAAAAGUUUUCCCAGCAGAAACAAGAAUUUGUUUAGGCAAGGUUUAGUGUAUUAAGACAUAUCUUGAAAUGCAUGACCAGAACUGACCGAUGUGAUCCAGCAUUCAGUGACAUCAUCCAAAAAUUGCAGGAAAGAUAGCGUGCAACUGUGAGCAACAGAUAGGCUCUAAGUGGAGCUACGUUGCAAGAGAAGAGAAGAUACAAUGAAGAGAGGGGAAUAAAAAUAAAGUCUUUCACA